RNAcentral lists this long non-coding RNA (264 nucleotides) under Homo sapiens (human). RNAcentral's name for it is "HSALNT0374373". The record is from RNAcentral. Lineage: Eukaryota; Metazoa; Chordata; Mammalia; Primates; Hominidae.
AGUCUUUUGUGGUCCAAGAGGGAUGCAGUGUCCUUUGUUAAGGCAGCUUUUAUCCCAACCAGAUCCCGAAUAAAGUCAAAAGAACUCACCAUAAGGAGGGAGUUCAGCCUGAGAGAAGACUACUCACCAGAAGAGCUUGAUUAACAAUUUUACGGCAUUUUACCCCUUAAAAAACUCUUCCAUAUACGCAAUCACCUUUGAACUCCACAACACAUGGAUAUCCAGCUAUUUUGCCCCCUUCCACCAGCACCAAUAUCUUUUGCU